GAAAUGCGAUAAGUAAUGUGAAUUGCAGAAUUCAGUGAAUCAUCGAAUCUUUGAACGCACCUUGCGCUCCUUGGUAUUCCUUGGAGCAUGCCUGUUUGAGUAUCAUGAAAUCUUCAAAGUAAAUCUUUUGUUAAUUCAAUUGGUUUCUACUUUGGUAUUGGAGGUCUUUGCAGCUUCACACCUGCUCCUCUUUGUUCAUUAGCUGGAUCUCAGUGUUAUGCUUGGUUCCACUCGGCGUGAUAAGUUAUCUAUCGCUGAGGACACUGUAAAAGGUGGCCAAGGUAAAUGCAGAUGAACCGCUUCUAAUAGUCCAUUGACUUGGACAAUACUUUUAUGAUCUGAUCUCAAAUCAGGUAGGACUACCCGCUGAACUUAAGC
RNAcentral lists this unclassified non-coding RNA (378 nucleotides) under plant metagenome. RNAcentral describes it as "partial contains 5.8S ribosomal RNA, internal transcribed spacer 2, and large subunit ribosomal RNA". The stretch from base 1 to 105 matches the Rfam family "5.8S ribosomal RNA", at positions 50 to 154 of the family's 154-position model. The record is from RNAcentral.